This is an RNA transcript of Prunus dulcis (almond), 3103 nucleotides long. It is a transcript of the gene named F-box/LRR-repeat protein 3-like, with no coding region annotated. The transcript has 9 exons. The record is from RefSeq and is a predicted model, not a curated record. Lineage: Eukaryota; Viridiplantae; Streptophyta; Magnoliopsida; Rosales; Rosaceae.
UUCGCAGGCAGCUCUUCUUCCCUCUCUCUCUCUCUCUCUCUCUCCCUCCAAAUCCACCGUUUUUCUGUUAUACAGUUAGUUACCUCUACCUCAAAACUCUUCUAAACUUGGGACACCAGACCAUAGCCACCAUAUCCAUGAAGAAGCUCAACAACUGCAGCAACAUGGCCAACCCAUUUGAUAUCUUCACCAAUGAGAUCAUCCACACCAUCCUCGACCAUCUAAACGACGACCCAUUUGCCAAAAAGUCCUUCUCUCUUGUCUGCAAGUCCUUCUACUUCAUCGAGCGUCUUCACCGCAAAUCCCUCAAGCCCCUUCGCUCUGAGCUCCUAUGUAAAACCCUCAAUCGCUACCCUUCAAUUUCUCACCUCGACCUAUCUCUCUGUCCAAGUGUCGACGACCCAUCACUCACCUCACUCUCUGUUUCAUGGAAAUCGACGCUCCGUUCGAUCAAUCUCUCGCGCUCCAGAGACUUUACCAGCAUUGGGUUGCUGCGAUUGGCCACCAACUGCUCUUCUCUGGUCGAGAUUGACUUGUCCAACGGCACUGAGUUGACUGACUCGGCGGCCAAAGCGAUCGCAGAGGCUAAGAGCUUGGAGAGGCUGAUUUUGGCGAGGUGUAAAUUGAUUACGGAUAUUGGGAUUGGGUGUGUGGCUGUUGGGUGUAAGAAGCUGAGAUUGCUUUGCUUGAGGUGGUGCUUACGUGUCACUGAUUUGGGUGUUGGGUUGAUCGCUAUGAAAUGCAAGGAACUUCGGAGUUUGGAUCUCUCUUGUUUGCGGAUCACAGAAAAAUGCCUCCCACAUAUCCUGCAAUUACAACAUCUUGAAGAUUUAAUUCUUGAAGGAUGCCUUGGAAUUGAUGAUGAAGGCCUUGUGACCCUUAAGCAUAGUUGCAAGUCCCUCAAGAUGCUUAAUUUGUCAAAAUGUCAGAAUGUUAGCCAUGUGGGUUUGUCUUCUCUGACAAAUGGUGCUGAACACCUGAAGCAGCUUGUCUUAGCAUAUGGUCCUUUGGUCACCACUGACCUAGGAAAAUGCCUACUGAAUUAUUCGAGGUUGAAAUCGAUUAGCUUAGAUGGCUGUUUAGUUACAUGUUCUGGGACAAAAUCCAUUGGAAGUUGGUGUGCCUCACUGAGAGAGCUGAGUUUAAGUAAGUGCUUGGGAGUUACAGAUGAGUGUGUCUCCUUCCUCGUGCAAGCCCAUAGAGAGUUGCAGAAAUUAGACAUCACCUGCUGUCGCAAAAUAACUUCUGCCUCUAUAGAUUGCAUAACAAAAUCAUGCACCUUUCUCACUUCCCUCAGGAUGGAAUCGUGUAGCCUGGUUUCUGAAGAUGCUUUUCUGUUGAUUGGACAGCGUUGCCAAUUCUUGGAGGAAUUGGAUGUCACAGAUAACGAAAUCAACAAUGAAGGCUUAAAGUCUAUCUCAGGAUGUUCCAAACUUUGUAGUCUAAAACUGGGGAUUUGCUUGAAUAUUACUGAUGAUGGACUUACCCACAUUGGAAGUGGCUGUCCAAAGCUUGAGGAGCUUGAUUUGUACAGGUGCUUGGGAAUAACUGAUGUGGGCAUUGCAAAAAUUGCUUGCGGAUGUCCUACCAUGGAGAUGAUUAACAUUGCUUAUAAUGAUAAAAUUACAGAUUCUUCAUUAAUAUCAUUGUCACAGUGUUUGAGGUUAAAGAUACUUGAAAUUAGAGGAUGUCCUAGUGUUUCAACAGUGGGUCUUUCAGCUAUUGCUGGGGCAUGUAGGCAACUUGAAGUUCUGGACAUAAAAAAGUGCGUCAACAUCAAUGAUAAUGGAAUGCUUGCACUUGGUCAAUCUUGCCAAAACCUCAGACAGAUAAACUUGUCAUAUUGUUCAGUUACGGAUGUUGGGCUCUUAUCUCUUGCCAGUACCAACCGCCUGCAGAACAUGACUAUUUUGCACUUGACGGGAUUGACCCCAAACGGCCUUGCAGCUGCCCUAUUGGCAUGUGGAGGCCUAACAAAAGUCAAGCUUCACACAUCCUUGAAACCAUUGCUUCCAAAAUAUAUCUUUGGGUACAUGGAAGGCCGUGGUUGUGUGUUUCAUUGGAGAGACAAAGCAUUCCAGAAGGAAAUAGAUCCAAAUGGAUGGCAACUGCAUGCUGGAAUGUCUCCUGAAGCUGCGUAGAUUGGGAAGAAAAAGUGAAAACCACACAUGUAUAGUGCUUAUAACAAUGAGUCAAUGACCAUUAACGACAUAUCAAGACGCUUCCAAUUUGCUCAAUUCUCCCAAUACCCCAAAACAGGUUGGAGGGAAAAGUAGCAAUUGUAACAGGCGGUGCGAGAGGAAUUGGAGAGGCAACAGUGAGGCUCUUCGUAAAAAAUGGAGCCAAGGUAGCCAUUGCAGAUAUUGAGGAUACAAGUGGUACCAUUUUAGCGAACGAAUUGUACACUUCAGCGAUAUAUGUACAUUGCGAUGUAAGCUUAGAAGACGACAUCAAAAACUUGAUCAACAAACCAUCUCCCAUUAUGGCCGAUUAGACAUUCUCUUCAACAAUGCCGGAGUCCUUGGAAAUCAAUCGAAAAACAAGAGCAUCACCAACUUUGAUGCCCGCGAAUUUGAUCACAUUAUGCGUGUCAAUACUAGAGGAGCUGCCUUGGGGAUGAAGCAUGCAGCUAUUCAUGGUGCCUAGAAGAAGUGGGUGCAUCAUAUCCACAGCUAGUGUAGCCGGUGCCAUGGGAGGCCUUGGACCUCAUGCUUAUACAGCCUCAAAGCAUGCCAUUGUAGGUCUAACAAAGAACACGGCUUCUGAGCUUGGUCAAUAUGGGAUUCGAGUUCGUUGUAUUUCUCCUUUUGGGGUAGCUACUUCCAUGCUAAUCGAUGCUCGGAGCGGUCACUAGGAAGAUGGCGAAGGCAUGGAUUUUGGAUCGUCACCUUGUGAGGAAGAUGUGGAAAAGAUAGAAGAGCUUGUGAAAGGCCUGGCCAAUCUAAAAGGUGCUACUCUAAAAGCUAAAGAUAUAGCCGAGGCUGCUCUUUUUCUUGCAAGUGAUGAAUCAAAGUAUGUGAGUGGUCAUAACCUUGUUGUAGAUGGUGGUUAUUCUACCUCAAAGAAUUGCGUGGGUUUGUAAAGAUCGAUCAAUUGGAUAUAU